AUCACUUCUUGGCCAUUUGGCUAAGAUCAAGUGUAGAAUUUAGUGUUAAUGUGUAGUUAAUGUAAUUUUAUCAGGUUUUAAAUCCCAGAUUGAACCCACGACUUUCCCACUGAGUUGCAUCCCCCAGACCUAUUUUUUUUAUGUAAAGAUAGGGUCUUACAAAAU
RNAcentral lists this small nuclear RNA (165 nucleotides) under Fukomys damarensis (Damara mole-rat). RNAcentral's name for it is "U2 spliceosomal RNA". It matches the Rfam family "U2 spliceosomal RNA". From Rfam's summary of the family: U2 is a small nuclear RNA (snRNA) component of the spliceosome (involved in pre-mRNA splicing). Lineage: Eukaryota; Metazoa; Chordata; Mammalia; Rodentia; Bathyergidae. The record is from Rfam by way of RNAcentral.